RNAcentral lists this ribosomal RNA (460 nucleotides) under uncultured bacterium. Its description in RNAcentral is "partial 16S ribosomal RNA". It matches the Rfam family "Bacterial small subunit ribosomal RNA", at positions 338 to 795 of the family's 1533-position model. The record is from RNAcentral.
CCUACGGGUGGCAGCAGUGAGGAAUAUUGGUCAAUGGGCGCGAGCCUGAACCAGCCAAGUCGCGUGAGGGAGGACGGCCCUACGGGUUGUAAACCUCUUUUGCCGGGGAGCAACGGGCGCCCCGUGUGGCGUCACUGAGAGUACCCGGAGAAAAAGCUUCGGCUAACACCGUGCCAAAAGCCGCGGUAAUACGGGGGAUGCGAGCUUUAUCCGGAUUUUUUGGGUUUAAGGGGUGCGUAGUCGGAUCGUAAUGUCAGUGGUAAAAUUGAGGGGCUCAACCCCGUACCGCCAUUGAAACUGGCGUUCUUGAGUGGAAGAGAAGUAGGCGGAAUGCGUGGUGUAGCGGUGAAAUGCAUAGAUAUCACGCAGAACCCCGAUUGCGAAGGCAGCAUGCCGGCUUCCGACUGACGCUGAAGCACGAAAGCGUGGGUAUCGAACAGGAUUAGAUACCCCUGUAGUC